RNAcentral lists this ribosomal RNA (535 nucleotides) under Trigonopterus sp. 251 MB-2011. RNAcentral's name for it is "SSU rRNA". It matches the Rfam family "Eukaryotic small subunit ribosomal RNA", at positions 66 to 581 of the family's 1831-position model. The record is from RNAcentral. Lineage: Eukaryota; Metazoa; Arthropoda; Insecta; Coleoptera; Curculionidae.
CAAGCCAAAWUAAGGUGAAACCGCGAAAGGCUCAUUAAAUCAGUUAUGGUUCCUUAGAUSGUACCCACAAUUACUUGGAUAACUGUGGUAAUUCUAGAGCUAAUACAUGCAAACAGAGCUCCGACCGGAGACGGAAGGAGUGCUUUUAUUAGAUCAAAACCAAUCGGUGGCGGGUUCGCUCGUCAUCGUACAACUUGGUGACUCUGAAUAACUUUACGCUGAUCGCACGGUCAUCGCACCGGCGACGCAUCUUUCAAAUGUCUGCCUUAUCAACUGUCGAUGGUAGGUUCUGCGCCUACCAUGGUUGUAACGGGUAACGGGGAAUCAGGGUUCGAUUCCGGAGAGGGAGCCUGAGAAACGGCUACCACAUCCAAGGAAGGCAGCAGGCGCGCAAAUUACCCACUCCCGGCACGGGGAGGUAGUGACGAAAAAUAACGAUACGGGACUCAUCCGAGGCCCCGUAAUCGGAAUGAGUACACUCUAAACCCUUUAACGAGGAUCAAUUGGAGGGCAAGUCUGGUGCCAGCAGCCGCGG